CCUACGGGAGGCAGCAGUGAGGAAUAUUGGUCAAUGGACGAGAGUCUGAACCAGCCAAGUAGCGUGAAGGAUGACUGCCCUAUGGGUUGUAAACUUCUUUUAUAUGGGAAUAAAACGUUCCACGUGUGGGAUUUUGUAUGUACCAUAUGAAUAAGGAUCGGCUAACUCCGUGCCAGCAGCCGCGGUAAUACGGAGGAUCCGAGCGUUAUCCGGAUUUAUUGGGUUUAAAGGGAGCGUAGGUGGAUUGUUAAGUAAGUUGUGAAAGUUUGCGGCUCAACCGUAAAAUUGCAGUUGAAACUGGCAGUCUUGAGUACAGUAGAGGUGGGCGGAAUUCGUGGUGUAGCGGUGAAAUGCUUAGAUAUCACGAAGAACUCCGAUUGCGAAGGCAGUUCACUGGACUGCAACGGAAACUGAGGCUCGAAAGUGUGGGUAUCAAACAGGAUUAGAUACCCGAGUAGUC
Molecule: ribosomal RNA, 460 nt
Filed under: uncultured bacterium
Lineage: Bacteria
Description: partial 16S ribosomal RNA
Rfam family: Bacterial small subunit ribosomal RNA
Source: RNAcentral